This 360-nucleotide ribosomal RNA is filed under the name uncultured Glomeromycotina. RNAcentral's name for it is "LSU rRNA". Lineage: Eukaryota; Fungi; Glomeromycota. The record is from RNAcentral.
UUGAAAGGGAAACGAUUGAAGUCAGUCGUACCUAUGGGUAAUCAGCCUUUUGGGUGUGAUUUUGUGGAGCGUGAGGAGUUAAACGCCUUCAUGCCUGCAUAUUCGUGCACUUUGGGUGUACUUGCCCGUGUGUAAGUUAACAUCAAUUUUGGUGGUCAUAAAAUGGCUGGAGGAAUGUAGCUUCGAUCUUGUAUUGAAGUGUUAUAGCCUUCGGUAGAUGUGACGAUCGGGAUUGAGGAUUGCAACGGAUACCCUUCGGGGCUACCUGUCUGAUCUCUGAUUGUUGCUCUGGUGCCGAAAGCUUGCUUACGGUUAUCAAGGUCGAUGGUCAUUAGGUUAGAAUGGGUUAAAUUCGUUAAG